This 483-nucleotide ribosomal RNA is filed under the name uncultured bacterium. RNAcentral's name for it is "partial 16S ribosomal RNA". It matches the Rfam family "Bacterial small subunit ribosomal RNA", at positions 30 to 506 of the family's 1533-position model. The record is from RNAcentral.
AUUGAACGCUGGCGGCAGGCCUAACACAUGCAAGUCGAGCGGAGGAAGGGAGCUUGCUCCUGGAGUCAGCGGCGGACGGGUGAGUAAUGCCUAGGAAUCUGCCUGGUAGUGGGGGAUAACGUCCGGAAACGGGCGCUAAUACCGCAUACGUCCGGAGGGAGAAAGUGGGGGAUCUUCGGACCUCACGCGAUCAGAUGAGCCUAGGUCGGAUUAGCUAGUUGGUGGGGUAACGGCCUACCAAGGCGACGAUCCGUAACUGGUCUGAGAGGAUGAUCAGUCACCCUGCAGCUGAGACACGCUCCAGCCUCCGACGUGAGGCAGCACUCGGGCAUAUUCGGCAAGGGGCGAAAGCCUGUUCCAGCCAUGCCGCGUGUCUCAAGAAGGUCUUCGGCUUGUAAAGCACUUUAUGUUGGGAGGAAGGGCAGUAAGUUAAUACCUUGCUGUUUUGACGUUCCCAACAGAAUAAGCCCCGGCUACCUUCGU